This 378-nucleotide ribosomal RNA is filed under the name uncultured bacterium. RNAcentral describes it as "bacterial SSU rRNA". It matches the Rfam family "Bacterial small subunit ribosomal RNA", at positions 28 to 407 of the family's 1533-position model. The record is from RNAcentral.
GACGAACGCUGGCGGCGUGCUUAACACAUGCAAGUCGAGCGGUAAGGCCCUUUCGGGGGUACACGAGCGGCGAACGGGUGAGUAACACGUGGGUGACCUGCCCUUAGCUCUGGGAUAAGCCUGGGAAACUGGGUCUAAUACCGGAUAUGACUCCAUAACGCAUGUUGUGGGGUGGAAAGCCUUGUGCGGCUAGGGAUGGGCCCGCGGCCUAUCAGCUUGUUGGUGGGGUGAUGGCCACCAAGGCGACGACGGGUAGCCGGCCUGAGAGGGCGACCGGCCACACUGGGACUGAGACACGGCCCAGACUCCUACCGGGAGGCAGCAGUGGGGAAUCUUGCGCAAUGGGCGAAAGCCUGACGCAGCGACGCCGCGUGGGGA